UUUUUUUUUUUCCAAGCCUAACUGUAACCAGCUUUAUUAAAGAUUCUUUUAAUAAACAAUCAUGGUAUUUCAGGCAGGACAUGGGCAGACAAUCAACAAUAUACAAGAACUUCCAAAUUCCCUUCUUGUAUAGACUACCAAAAUCAGAAAGCCACUAUAAAACCCAAUGAAGUCUUCAUUCAAUGCUUUGAAAAGGGGGAAGUAGCUUAGAGUGAGGGUUGACAUUUCACAUUAAGGAUGUUGUUUUAACAACUUUUCACAAGCCGACCCUGACUUUUAGGCAGAAUUAUCAAUCUGAAGAUCCACAAUCUUUUAUAAAAGGAACCAGUGCUCUUCUGAGAACACUCAAUGAAGUCACUGCAAAGUCCCCAUCACUCAAUGGACUGGGAAACCAAUUUUGGGGGCCAGGUUCCAACAGGUCUCUGGUUUUUAAGGGAAUUAAGUCUAUGUUGAUAGUACAGGGGGAAGAGGAUAUAAAAGUGAAUUUAUAGUUUUCCCAGACCACAAGGCAUUGUUGUGCCUUGGUGGCCACCUAGGUCAAGACCAGGAUCUCUCUCCUGGGAGCCAACAGGAGCCUUCCAAAAUUAUCAGGGAAAGAGGUUUUCUGUCCUCAAUCCAGCUUGGGAGAGAUUUUGUUACUGACACAUGAUCCUUCCCCCACCCAGUAAUGAAGUGUUCUGUGUGCUAACAAUAUAGCU
RNAcentral lists this long non-coding RNA (698 nucleotides) under Mus musculus (house mouse). Its description in RNAcentral is "long non-coding RNA chr9:22320294-22320992". Lineage: Eukaryota; Metazoa; Chordata; Mammalia; Rodentia; Muridae. The record is from RNAcentral.